UUCUUCUUCUUCUCUCACUGUCCUCUGCUUCAGUGGAAUCUUGUGUGGUUUUGCAACCCUAAAGCGGUGGAAAGACUUGGAUUUGGUCUGUAUUUGUUCUUGAAAGGUCUUCUUGAAUUGGUCCCUGACCCCAUUUGCCUGUUCCUCCUCUCUCGAAUUACAAGAUCUCUUCGUGAUCCGUUCUUCUUGUUGUAGGUUUUUCUUUCGAUUUUUUGUUCUUGAUUUCUUUCUGAUUUUACCAUUGAAUCUUGCGUGGAUCUCUGUUGUUGGGGUGGGCGCAAGAGCUUCUAGGGAGAACGGUUGUUGGUGCUUCAUCUUUCCUCUGUAUGUCAGAGUCUGGUGAAGGUCCCUACAGUGAGAAAUCGUUGUGAUCUUGCGCCAUUUGGAGUCAUUGGUUAGGAGAGGUAGUUCAGAUCUCAAAAGAAAGACGAAGUCUUUCUUCUGAAAUUUUGAGAUCUCACUGUUUCCGAGUUAGAAUGUCGGUAGUGGAAGAUGUGUCUGCAUCUCCCAAGUGUUUUCUGGACACUUUUGCGAUUGAUACUGGUAUACAUGUGAUCAACUGCUGAUACUUUGUUAGUCGGUGUUGUUCUAGAUUUAUAGUGUUAUAUCUAUUUUUUAAUCACUACUAGUACUGAAUGACAGAAUUCCACAGAAAGCAAUAGUUAUUUCCUCUUAAUGGGGUUAUCCCUAACCGAAUUACUGUACUAAAUGAUUCUGGGCAAACAUAAAACAUUAGGCCUAGAUGUGAGACAGAGACCUGUGUGACUUGGAUUCGGGCAUUUCAUCUGAUUUCCUUUCUAAUGAUGCUUUCAAUUUACAAAGGUGCACAUGCAGAAUCUGUCAUUAAAAUACUAUAUUAAGCAGUGUGACUGGCAAAGAUCUAGGGGGAAAAUAUUAAUUUUUUUUUCUUCCAAACUUCCUGCGUAUCUGCUUACAAAUGAUGGAAGUCACUAUCAUCUUCCAUAGGCAUCAUGCGAAAGAGUAUAAUCAACACUACCUCACUGCAGACUCAAUGAUGGCUGAACCCAAUAUCCAUGUGGAAUAGAGCGAGAAGGGGUACCCUCUCUUAAGCUUUUAAAAGAUUGUAAGGAAUUUGUAGAGAACCUGUGUCUAUGCUAAAAAACCAGAGACACUCUUAUAAGAAUUUGCAUAGACUUAAGUCUCGCCGUCCCUUUUCAUUUGUACCAAAAAGUAGAAAAGAACUACCUGUACUUUUCUUUGUUCAUUUUGCUGUCACAUUUGUGAAUUUCUCAUGUGCAAUUAGUUCACUUUUAGUGGCAACUGAUUUUUUAAGUGAUAUUUUUGGCUGUUUACAACUUAGAAUUUACCUGGGCUCGAACAGCCUAUACUGAUUGUGAGAUAUAAUCUAGUUAUUUCACAUGUAUGCCACAUUACUUCCAUGCAAUGCAGUGGAUGUAGUCUUGAUUUUGUAGCAUCUGAUUCUUAACAGAUUUUCUUCAUUCAGAUUGAUAAGCUGAAAAUGUCAGGAAAAACCCUCGGAGAUCUCAAUGUACAUCCAGCAACUGGAUUCGAUAAGAAUACUGCAUUGGGCAAAGGAAGUUUAACCAAGUCGUACAUUGAAAAUAUCAAUGACAAUGGUCCUGAAUUGCAGAAAAAAAGUUCUUCCCCUUUCUCUGCUCCUAUAAAUAUUGGUGAUGCAGGAAGCAACGGACUAGAGACAGGAAAUACAGAAGUUGAGUACAUCGAGUCUGAAAAUCUGGCAGAUCUACCAGAUGUGGAUGCAAGUUUUAAUACACUGUUAGCUAGGUUGGACUCAAAAGACUGGGUUUCUGUAUGCGAAGCACUCAAUAAUGUGCGCCAAUUGUCAAUAUAUUACAAGGAAAGGCUGCUUGAAAUCAUACGAGCUGUGAUACCACUUAUUGUGAAGUCACUGAGAAGUCCCAGGAGUGCUGUCUGCAAAACUGCAAUCAUGGCAUCUGCUGACAUAUUCAAGGCUUACAAUGAUAUGGUUAUUGACUCAUUUGAUCCCCUGGUAUGUUCCGUUACUAGUCUUCUCCGUUAUUUUAUCUUCUGCUGAUUCCAUGUAUUAAAUACUCUAAAACAUCUCUACAUCAUUCUUCAGCUUGUCCAGUUGCUACUGAAAUCCUCUCAAGACAAGCGCUUUGUAUGUGAAGCUGCUGAGGCAGCUCUAAUAGCAAUGACAACUUGGAUCUCUCCAAUGCUAUUGUUGCCAAAGUUGCUGCCUCAUCUUACAAACAGAAAUCCUCGAAUACGAGCAAAAGCAUCUAUGUGUUUUAGCAGGAGUGUACCUCGACUUGGCAUGGAGGGAAUUAGAGCAUAUGGAAUUGAUAAGCUUAUCCAAAUCGCAGCAUCUCAACUCAGCGACCAACUUCCUGAAUCAAGGGAGGCUGCUCGGGCACUUGCCAUGCAACUGCAAACCAUAUAUGUUAAUUCUCAUGUCUCUCCAAAUGAAGAUUCUCUUGAGUUGGUGGAUGCUGAUUCCUGGGAGGCUUUUUGCCACGCGAAGCUGACACCUUUGAGUGCUCAGGCUAUUCUUCGAGUCACGUCUACUCCAAAAGAGGCUCUGGUAUUGAGUUUUUGCUAGCUCAUGAGGGCUAUGGCACUCUACACCUACCUUGGUGAUUCCACUGUUUGUUAUGCAUUUGAUAUUUUUGUACAUGCUGUGACCAUAGAAAAAAUAUCGACGAGGCAUUUGUAAAAUUGAUCCUAUAAUUCACAUUUGAGGUAAUUUCUUGUAUAGGUUUCAGUGAUUUCUUUGUGUUUCAUUUCUGAGUGCUGAUGUGGAGUGUGCUAAUCUUCGCCUGUGGCACCUAUCCAUUGAAAACUAAUGUAAGCCCAACCCUUUUUUAUUAGACCAAGAAAGAUGACCCGCCGAUCGUGCAUCGCAGUUUCAUUUUUCAUGUUUUGGGAGAAAUAUGCAGAAUUUGUUGCAGUAAUCCCCCUAUAUCAGUGAAAAUUGUUUUUUUAUGAUGUUGGUAUUGAUGAUGAUGCUUGGGAAAUGUAUGAAUUAAAGAACUAGGAACAGCUUUAAUAGAGUAUUAUCACUGUAGUGCCAAAUUAUGGACACAGAUCAAAGAUCAUGGUGUCACUCCACAGUGAUGCCUUUAUGUUCAAGCAUUCUAACAUGCCAAUUUCAAUUUUUGGAUGAAGCAAGUUUUAGUCAUGUGGUGCAAAACAGUACUUUUUGGCAUUCCAGGUGUUUUGUUGUGUGAAAAGAAGUGGUUUAACUGGUGUUCAGCCAAGCUAUGAACUCUGCUUACAGGAAUGGCUUGGAUGAUGAGGCAAUGCAACUGGAGAGAUUUCAGUUCUCAACUUAUCUGCCUAGAGAAAUCAUGAUUCAACUUCAAGUAAUUUUCAUUUCUCAAGUCAAAUAUUAUUUACAAGUUGUCUGCUAUUCAGAGGGAACAAUAGAUCUAAUAUAUGUGGGGAGGAUCAAAACUUCACAUAAUGAUCCCAAGACACUAAAUUGGCAAGAGACUUGAACAUCUUUCUACAUUUCUUAGCAUGAUGUGAAAAAGCAUCUAUUUCUUUCUUACAUCAGGGAUGAAAGGUAACACUCAAAGGUGCUUCUGACCACUCCAUCAUAAAUGCUCAUCCAUCAUGACAAUUCCUACCUUAGCUGCUUUGAUUUCCUCAUAUGAUAAAUUUGGUAGUGACAACAAGGUAGUGUAAUCAACAUACAUGUUCUUAUCCCAGCAGACCUGAUUGAAUGAUGGAUGCAUAGCACAUGAAGUCCAGUCCAUUGCUCUGGUACAAUAGCUAAAAGUCACAGUUUUAAUUAUGCUGUUUAAGAAAGCUUUGUUGCUCUGAUAUGUUGUUUUCUGGACUAAAUAGUAUCAUGUCAUGUUUCUUCUCAGGCAACAAAAUCCAGUCCAGAGGGGAUAACUCUACCGAGAAGAAUGAAAGAGAAUAGAAGAUGAUGUAACACACCAUGGGAUGCACAACCAUCAAGGAUUGGCAGUAGAAUUUAUUGAAGAGGACAAGUACC
Molecule: non-coding RNA, 3970 nt
Organism: Musa acuminata subsp. malaccensis (wild Malaysian banana)
Lineage: Eukaryota; Viridiplantae; Streptophyta; Magnoliopsida; Zingiberales; Musaceae
Source: RefSeq, a predicted model, not a curated record